GCACCUACUAAGUGCUAAGCAUUAUCUUGG
This 30-nucleotide non-coding RNA is filed under the name Homo sapiens (human). The record is from RNAcentral. Lineage: Eukaryota; Metazoa; Chordata; Mammalia; Primates; Hominidae.